CAGUGACAGAGGGAGGGGGUGACACAGUGAGGGAGGUGGUGACUAGUGACAGAGUGAGGGAGGUGGUGACUGUCACUAGUCACUAGUCACCACCUCCCUCACUCUGUCCCUAGUCACCCCUCCCUCUGUNN
RNAcentral lists this microRNA precursor (131 nucleotides) under Pelobates cultripes (western spadefoot toad). The record is from RNAcentral. Lineage: Eukaryota; Metazoa; Chordata; Amphibia; Anura; Pelobatidae.